Daphnia pulicaria is the source of this 1229-nucleotide long non-coding RNA. RefSeq lists it as uncharacterized. The transcript has 7 exons. Lineage: Eukaryota; Metazoa; Arthropoda; Branchiopoda; Diplostraca; Daphniidae. The record is from RefSeq and is a predicted model, not a curated record.
UAGAUGUUGCCUAUAACAUCAAAUUUGGGGUAUCUGGUCAUCCCUCCAAAAUAAGGCAAUGACCACACGUUUAACGCGGAUCAUUCGUUUUUUCAUGGAACUUGACUCAUUCCAUCUUCUGGAUUGCUUAGGAAACCUGAUUGGCAUUGCCUGUGUAAUGACCGAGAAGAUGCGGCCUACAUGAACAUCAUUUAGGCGGCCAACAUCAUUCGACUACCCAACCGACUUCUACUACCCAACCGACUUCUACUACCCUGCUCUCAACACAACACGGAGUUCAACCCUUUAGAUUUUUGGCUGUUCGCGAUGUGUGAUGGACGAGCGUUUCCUUGGACGAGAUGUUUAUUUUGGCGAAAAAAAAAUAUUGCGUACGAUUUUCAUGCUGUCAUUCACUGAUGCUAUUUUUGUGCGUGCCGGCCUUCCGUCGCCUCGAGGCAUGGGGGAGUUGUGCCUGUUCCAGCUACGCUGCCAGCAUUAUUCGACUACCCAACCGACGGGCGGGUGGACUUUCACUGACCCCUACUACGCCUGCACUCAACCCAGUUCUCACGGAGUUUUGAUGUUAGCGAGUGAGCAUCUUCGACACUUCAACAACUGCAUCCUUCGUCGUAUUACCAGUUCACAAUGGUGGCAAACUAUGCUGUCUUGCUGAAAUGCUGCUAUUGCCUAUUGGUUGUUGUAUUGCUGAUGGCUGGGUCGAUCAAGGGUGUACUGAUAAGUAUAGUCUACCACGCCGCCUCCUUACUAAACAACAACGUCAACACCUACUUACUCUACGAAGGCCUCUAAGUACUACACUACCAAGGCUCCUGAGUAUUUAACUGCAACCUACGCUGCUCCAUCUUAGGAAACAUGGUUAACUGUGGGUAGUGCUGCUGUUGGGUGUUGUGUCAUUGAUGGCUUGGUCGACUACUGGUGUGCCGAUGUCUCCUGGUUAUAUUGAGUACCAAACCGCAACGUCUUACUACACAGCGAAGUCCACAUACGCAACAUCUGUUACUACACCGAGGCUCCCAAGUACUACACCGAGUUAUCUGCCCCAGCCUACUUCACCGACGCGUUCAAGUACUACUCUGCUCCAAGUUACUACCAAACUGAGGCUCCUGUUUGCUACACCAAGGCCACCGAGUAUUACACUACAACCAUGCUAACUAUGGCGUUGUGCUGCUGUUCGUUGUUGUAUCCUUGAUGGUUGGGUUGACUACUGGUGUACCGAUGUCUCGGCAUGA